Molecule: ribosomal RNA, 402 nt
Filed under: uncultured cyanobacterium
Lineage: Bacteria; Bacillati; Cyanobacteriota
Description: bacterial SSU rRNA
Rfam family: Bacterial small subunit ribosomal RNA
Source: RNAcentral
UCCCUGGGCAUUCAUCAGCCGCGUGAGGGAGGAGGUCUUUGGAUUGUAAACCUCUUUUCUCAAGGAAGAAGUUCUGACGGUACUUGAGGAAUCAGCCUCGGCUAACUCCGUGCCAGCAGCCGCGGUAAUACGGGGGAGGCAAGCGUUAUCCGGAAUUAUUGGGCGUAAAGCGUCCGCAGGUGGUCAGCCAAGUCUGCCGUCAAAUCAGGUUGCUUAACGACCUAAAGGCGGUGGAAACUGGCAGACUAGAGAGCAGUAGGGGUAGCAGGAAUUCCCAGUGUAGCGGUGAAAUGCGUAGAGAUUGGGAAGAACAUCGGUGGCGAAAGCGUGCUACUGGGCUGUAUCUGACACUCAGGGACGAAAGCUAGGGGAGCGAAAGGGAUUAGAUACCCCCUGUAGUCA